RNAcentral lists this ribosomal RNA (406 nucleotides) under uncultured bacterium. RNAcentral's name for it is "partial 16S ribosomal RNA". It matches the Rfam family "Bacterial small subunit ribosomal RNA", at positions 30 to 526 of the family's 1533-position model. The record is from RNAcentral.
AUUGAACGCUGGCGGCAGGCCUAACACAUGCAAGUCGAACGAGUGGCGGACGGGUGAGUAAUGUCUGGGGAACUGCCCGAUGGAGGGGGAUAACUAAUGGAAACGGUAGCUAAUACCGCAUACCAUCGGAUGAGCCCAUAUGGGAUUAGCUAGUAGGUGGGGUAACGGGUCACCUAGGCGACGAUCCCUAGCAGGUCUGAGAGGAUGACCAGCCACCUUGGAACUGAGACACGGCCCAGACUCCUACGGGAGGCAGCAGUGGGGAAUAUUGCACAAUGGGCGCAAGCCUGAUGCAGCCAUGACGCGUGUAUGAAGAAGGCCUUGGGGUUGUAAAGUACUUUCAGCGAGGAUGCGUUACUCGCAGAAGAAGCACCGGCUAACUCCGUGCCAGCAGCCGCGGUAAUAC